CCUACGGGAGGCUGCAGUGGGGAAUAUUGCACAAUGGGCGCAAGCCUGAUGCAGCCAUGCCGCGUGUGUGAAGAAGGCCUUCGGGUUGUAAAGCACUUUCAGCGGGGAGGAAGGCGUUAAGGUUAAUAACCUUGGCGAUUGACGUUACCCGCAGAAGAAGCACCGGCUAACUCCGUGCCACAGCCGCGGUAAUACGGAGGGUGCAAGCGUUAAUCGGAAUUACUGGGCGUAAAGCGCACGCAGGCGGUCUGUCAAGUCGGAUGUGAAAUCCCCGGGCUCAACCUGGGAACUGCAUUCGAAACUGGCAGGCUAGAGUCUUGUAGAGGGGGGUAGAAUUCCAGGUGUAGCGGUGAAAUGCGUAGAGAUCUGGAGGAAUACCGGUGGCGAAGGCGGCCCCCUGGACAAAGACUGACGCUCAGGUGCGAAAGCGUGGGGAGCAAACAGGAUUAGAUGCCCGAGUAGUC
RNAcentral lists this ribosomal RNA (464 nucleotides) under uncultured Klebsiella sp. RNAcentral's name for it is "bacterial SSU rRNA". It matches the Rfam family "Bacterial small subunit ribosomal RNA", at positions 338 to 795 of the family's 1533-position model. The record is from RNAcentral. Lineage: Bacteria; Pseudomonadati; Pseudomonadota; Gammaproteobacteria; Enterobacterales; Enterobacteriaceae.